AAGUAUGAAAUCUCGUAAUUACAUAUGAUUUUUGAUAUUGUGUACUUUAAAAGUGAAAUGUUUGCAGGAAUGAGGGUCCCCCUGCCUCCUUCCCCUGCAGCUCCUUCAUUUCUAAACACCUUGUUAUUUCAGAAAGGGAGAAUCUUUCAUUCCGGUUUUAUGGAAUAGAAUGAAGUAUUUUUCCACUCAUAUUUUGUUUUUAGAACGAGAACUGCUCUUUCAAGUUGUUAAUCAGUAUAAAGGAAAGGAGGCAUCAAAGGGAAUGCUGCUGCGUCCUUUCUAAAGGGAGUAAUAUAUUUUUCUUGUGAUCAAAUAUAUCGAUAGAUUUAAUUCUAUGGUCCAUGAAGAUAAUUAGGACUCAAUAAAUAUUAAAUCAAUCAGCAAAUAACCUUUUCCUGCCCUUGAGGAGCUUAUGAUCUACUGAAACAAGAUGAAUGGCAUGCAUCUUUAUCUUUUUAACAUCCUUUGGCCCUCUAUUUAUGGGAAACAAACUCACAAGAAUUUCCAUGCAGGGAUCCUGAAGAGGUUUGGCCUGUUAUCCACUUAAAAUUUUUUAUAAGCCAAUGAGAAGAUGCUUUGGAGUUAUUACCUGAGCAGCAAUAUUGCAUGUGAAAUGGCUCCCUUGAAAAAGAGUUAAUUUCUAAAAACAACACCAGAACUAAAGAGUGUGUGGCUGGUGGUGUGGCCAAAUGAUCUGCAGUGUGUCUGCAGGGUAAGGAGAGGGGAACGAGCACCCUGGGAUGAGACUUUGUCAUCUGUUAAUCUCAAGACGUAAAACCACAAUUCAAUUACAUGGGAUUCCAUGCUAAUAUUCCUCUUGUCAAUGGCUUUUCUGUUUCAGAAGGCAGCAGAAUCCCAUUGUAGAGUCAAUGGGUAUCUAAAGCCUGAUUAAUUGUAUUGUGGUGCACAUGGAAUAUUUAGUCUCUGGAUGUUAUUUAUGUUGAGACAGGAGCGGUCUUGGGGGACUGGAGAUGCAUUAAACCCCACACAAUUAACAAAUGAUCUUUUCCUUCCAGAGAGGCCCUGUGUUGCUGUCUGGGCUCCGGUGGCCCUGGUUAAAUGUAAGAUGGAAGUUCCACCAUAUUCCACACUGAAUUGUAAGUAUAUACCAACAUAUUCAGUAAUCAAUGAGGCACAUAGUUUCUGGCAUAGAGGUAUAGAUGCACUUCUUAAAAGCUACUGAAUGAAUAAGUUAAGACAGCGAUUAGGCCAUAAUCAGUUUGUUCCACCAUUUUGCUUUUUAUUUACAUUGAAAAAUUUUUACCAUUUUUUCCAUUUUAAUGUUUCAGAGCACACAAAUGAUGUGAAUUCCAAGGUAUCUGACAGCAGAAAAUUGGUGGUGAGGCUUACGCAAAGAAUAGAGCUUUGUGAAACUGAAAUCUCACAACAGACCUUUAUCGUCAUUACAACAUAAGCAGAUCUUCAACAAGCAUUUGCUACUGAAACAUACAGUGAUAUGUACUGAGUGGGACCAGCACAGCAAACAAUAACCCCUGGAGCCGUCACCCUAUUCUUGUCUAGCGGGAACCUUGCUCUUUCAACACCCUUUUUGGGAACAACAAUUUUCCUUGAUUUUACUUCCAAGAAACAGGCUGUCUUUACCAAGCCAUGAGACUUGACAGAAGAUUGUGAACCUUAGCUGCUGUUUUAAAAUUCAGACAUUCGCUUUAUGCUCUAGUACCUAGAGAGAGGGGGACAAAUGAGGCAGACUUUUCAUGUCCAUAAAGUACAAUAGGCAUUAAAGCUAAUGUGCAGAGGAGAGAUUUGGGCUGUGUACUUGGCUGCUGCAGGACGGGCGCCACACCUUUCAGUUGUGCCUUUGCUAAUGGAGAGGCAGGGACCAGGUAAAUGCUCCCGUGGGAGGGGGUAGAGUUACCACCCACUGGCCUCAUCUAGGGGUCAACAUAUAAAAGUGGGUGCUUAGUAGAGUCAGCAGGUCUGAUUAAUACCCUCUAGGCAGUACUUAUGAGGCAGUUUGGGGCCCAUCAAAUGCCUUAUAAUAAAGUACAAUGGUGCAAUUUGUAUUUUUACUGCAGGCCAAUUAAGAAGGGGGAGAGAGAGUAGUAAGUAAAAUGACAUGUCCUUGCAAAGCAGAAACAACAGUCAUAGCAGCAGGAGCGGGAGAGAGGGGUUAAGGAAAGGAAACAGCCAGCUACUUAACAGCAGUUAAAAGGGCCAGAGCUCUCAUGUCUUAUUGCCUACCUCCUGCCGGAAAUUUCCCUUUUCCUGCUGGUUUGUAUGGCAGUGGGUAUUUUCAAAGGGGAAUAAUCUGUGUGGUAACAUAUGUUCAUCCAGACAGAGAUGGGUGAGUUUAAAGUCAAAUAGUAUUUUUUUUUUUAAAGUGCUGUUUGAAGAGCACUUGACAUUCUUAUCAGAAUUCUGUAAGGCUUGCAUUCUUGGGUUUUGUGAUUUAGCCUUCCUAACUUACAUCUGUUUCUAGUCUGCCUUUUUAUUUUUUUAUUUUAUUUUAUUUAUUAUUAUUUUUUUUAUUUUUAUUUUUUAUUUUUGAGACGGAGUCUGGCUCUGUCACCCAGGCUGGAGUGCAGUGGCGCGAUCUCGGCUCACUGCAAGCUCCGCCUCCCGGGUUUACGCCAUUCUCCUGCCUCAGCCUCCCGAGUAGCUGGGACUACAGGCGCCCGCCACCUCGCCCGGCUAGUUUUUUGUAUUUUUUAGUAGAGACGGGGUUUCACCGUGUUAGCCAGGAUGGUCUCGAUCUCCUGACCUCGUGAUCCGCCCGUCUCGGCCUCCCAAAGUGCUGGGAUUACAGGCUUGAGCCACCGCGCCCGGCCUAGUCUGCCUUUUUAAAACCAGAAAAAAAAGAUUUUGGAAAACUUUACCAUUUGGUUAUUAUUUUUUCCAGUCUUCAUUGAAGACAAGUUUUUAUAAAACGUGGGUUUAUAAAAACGUGCCCUUUCAUGUUGGGAUGUACUAAUCACUCUAUGAAAUUCUCUCAGGACAUCUUCUCACCAGGCUGUAUCUUAAGUUACUGUUGUCUUCUCUGGGUACCUGGAUUGCUAGACAAUAGGAAUAAGAAGAGAGAGAUGUAGAAAGGAGAAGAAAGCAACAGAGAGGGAAGUAGAAAAGAGGGUGUAGGGAAAUAAAUCAGGGACUACUUUAUAAAGUGGAAGAGAGACAGGAAGGCGGAAAGGCAGCAUCGGGAAUCAAUGUAAAAUGACAGUAAUUUGAACAACCAAAAAUAACAUCUUCCUACUUAAAACAAAUGGUAGGAAAUAAACUAAAUACUGUUGACUGCCUUUGGGGAGAGGAAAAGAGAAAUGGAUAGGGUAAAUAUUUCAAAGUUUGUGCCUACUCAAACGUAUUUAUUCACUUAUGACAUGAUGAUGAACUCUGACAGAGUGAAAAAAAGGAGAAGCAAUUUUCUAGGUAAUCUAGGUCCCAAAUCCUACUGUUGGUGGGGCAGGGGGUGGGGGGGAAGCACUGAAGGCAAGAAUAGGGGUGAAAUAUCAAUUCCCAGCUGGUAGUUUACAUUGAUGGAAUUCCCUGAAUAUUUUCUCAUGCAUCUCUCCUCCCUCCCGUUCUAUUUUUACUUUCCUUUUUGAAAGACAAAUUUUAGCUUUUUUUUUUUCCUGAUUAUAAAAAUAUAACCCAAAUAUCAGCCUUUUCCUUUCCUGUCUCAAGAUCCUCAUCCUCUGGAAUACUUGGGGAAGAUGGUGUUUGUCUUGUCUUACAUCUGUUUCUGAGUCGUCCCCCUUGCAGCCUGAGUCAUGCACAACCCUUGGUUCUGGGUUAAAAGGAAUAGUCAGGUGAAAAGAGAAAAGGGGUGAGUGUUAUCUACUUCUCACGAUCUUACUCCCGGGUUGUAAUGAAAGUGGAUCUCAGAACUAAUUCUACCACGUAGGCAGAUAUUCAAUAAAGAAACAACCAUUAGCAAAAC
Long non-coding RNA from Macaca mulatta (Rhesus monkey), 3895 nucleotides. NCBI's taxonomy places the organism in Eukaryota, Metazoa, Chordata, Mammalia, Primates, Cercopithecidae. The record is from Ensembl.